Peromyscus maniculatus bairdii (prairie deer mouse) is the source of this 11185-nucleotide non-coding RNA. The record is from RefSeq and is a predicted model, not a curated record. NCBI's taxonomy places the organism in Eukaryota, Metazoa, Chordata, Mammalia, Rodentia, Cricetidae.
GGCAAAUCUUGUCUGGCAAGUCACUGUUAGAGCACACAGUUUCCAGCACUGGGGGGAUACAUUAAAAUUUAGAGAAAUUAUUGCGGAUUUAAUUGACUCCUGAGGCCUCUGUUAACCAUAUGGAUGUCCAUGAUUGGAACUACAAUGUUAUUCCUAUUCCUUCUGGAAGCCAUGUUGAUUCAAAUGGUCCUUGUUACCAUGGGAUAACAUCUUGAUUGCCAUGACCUCUCUGGCCCCAUAUGACCAUACUAAUGUAAGUAUUCUGUGUUGCCAACAUAAAGAAUGUAAAUUUACAAGAACAAUAAUACAACUGAAACUAAGUUCUUAUCUGGGAUACUUGCUGUCACCUCCAAACAAAUUGAAUACAUUCAUCACUGCUGAAUCUGUAAAACAUGCAGAUGUCCAUGAGAAGGCAUACCAUGUUAUUCCUACUAUUUCUGGAAGCCACAUAAUGCCAGGGUUCAUUCUUGCUCAUGGAUCUAAUGUUGAUGUCUAUCUGUCCUGCUACCUGAGACCAUGUUGAUGCAAGAGUUCUAUAUUUCCAUCAUGAAGAUAGUUAAUUUCCUAAUCUCAACUACCGUAGUAAACUAUGUUUCUAUCCAUUCUAUGUGCUGCCAGCUGAUAACUUGUGGAUUUAAUUGAUCCCUGCUUGUUCUGUUACCCAUAUGGAUGUCCAUGAUUGGAACCAUAAUACUUUUCAUACUACUUCUGGACACCAUGUCGAUUUUCAUGAUAUCUGUUGCUACAGGUGAUGAUGUUAAUGUAAGUGAUCCUUGUUGACAAUGUAUAGAAUGGUAAUUUCCAAGAUUUAACAAACUUUUGGUAACUAAAGUUGAUACACAUUAUUCAUGCUGCCACCUGCAGCCAUACUGAGGUCAUUGAUCACUGAUGCCUAUGCAAACCGUGCUAAUAUUAAUGAAUGGAGCUCCCCUGCAUUCCUAUUGUUUCUGUAAGCCAUGUUGAUGAAGGUGGUCCUUUAUGCAAUGGGUUAACAUCAUGAUUGCCAUAAAUUCUCCAGCCCCUUAUGGCUAUUUUAAGCCCCCUUUUGGCAAUAUGUAGAAUGGUAAUUUCCAAGAUUUAGCAAGCAUGGGUCACUAGGCAGAUAUCCAUAAUUCAUGCUGCAACCUCCAACCAUGCUGAUGUCCUUGACAGCCAUUGCCACUGUUAAACCUGUUGAUGUCUAUGAAUGCCCCUACAAUGCAUUCCUCUUGUUUCUGUAAGCCUUGUUGAUACAUGAUACAAUCCUUGUUCCCAUGAGAUAACAUUUUGAUUGCCAUGACCUCCUUGGCCCCUAAUGAUCAUAUUGUUGGAAGUGUUCUGUGUUGCCAACAUAAAGAACGUAAUUUCAAGAAUUAAAAUACCAAACAAAACCAAGAUGAUAUCUGCAAUAUUUGCUGUCACCACCAAACAAAUUGAAUUAAUUUAUCCCUGCUGCAUCUGUUAUAUAUGUGUAUGUCCAUGAGCAGACAUACGAUAAAAUUCCUAUUAUUUCUGGAAACAAGGUUGAUGACAGCGUUCUUUCUUGCACAUGGAACUUAUUUUGAUGUCUAUCUGUCCUCCUACCUGACACCAUGUUGGUACAAGAGUUCUGUCUUUCCAUCAUGAAGAAAAUUAAUUUCUCUGAUCUCAAAUACCAAAGUAAACUGUGUGGCUAUUCAUUCUAAUUUCUGCCACCUGAAACCCUGUAGAUAUAAUACAUUCCUACUGCUUCUGUGAACCAUGUGGAUGUCCAUGAUUGGAGGCACAAUGCCACUCUUAUUACUUCUGGAAGCAAUGUUGAUGCUAAUUAUCUUCUACCACUUGGCACCAUGUUUUUAUAUGAUUUCUCCUGCUACAAGUUACCACCUUAAGAUAAGUUUUCGUUGUUGCCAGUUUAUAGAAUGGUAAUUUCCAAGAUUUAAUUAACUUUUGGUAGCUAAGUUGAUACACAUAAUUCAUACUGCCACCUGCAGCCAACCUGACGUUAUUGGUCACUGCUGCCUUUGCAAACAAGGUUGAUAUUAGUGAGUAGAGCUCCCAUGCAUUCCUAUUCAUUCUAGAAGCCAUGUUGAUGCAUGUGGUCCUUGUUACCAUGGGACAGCACCUUGAUGGCUUUGAUUUCUCCAUCCCCUCAUGAUCUUAUUAAUGUAAGUAUUCUGUAUUGCCAAUAUGAAGAAUUAAAUUUUCAAGAAUUGAAAUACCAAUAGAAACUAAGAUAAUAACCAAAAGACAUGCUGCUACCUCCAAAUAAGUUGAGGUCUUUAAAUCCAGCUGAGUCUUUUAAACAUGUGCUUGGCCAUGAUUGGCACUACAAUGCUAUUUCUACUCCUUCUGGAAGCAAUGUUGAUGCUCAUGAUCUUCUUACCACUGGACACCAUGUUGACUUACAUGAUCUUUCCUGCAACAAGUGACAGUAUUAAGGUAAGUGUUCCUUUUUGGCAAUAUAUAGAAUGGUAAUUCCCAAGAUUUAAUGAACCUUUGUUAACUUAGCUAAUAUCUCUAAGUCAUGCUGCCACCUGCACCCAUGCUGAUAUCAUUGAAUGUUCCCUGUUGAUGUCUAUGAAAGGAAGUGCCAUGCAUUCCUAUUAGUUUUGUAAGCCAUGAUAUUCAUGUGGUCCUUGUUACCAUGAGAUGACAUCUUUAUUGCCAUGAUCUCUCUGGCCCCUUAUGACCAUAUUAAUGUAAAUGUUCUGUGUUGGCAACAAAAAGAAUGUAAAUUUUCAAGAACAAAAAUACCAACUGAAACUAGUUGAUAUCCAGAAUACUUGCUGAUGCCUCCAAACAAAUUGAAUUCAUUUAUCCCUGCUACACCUAUUGAACAUGUGGAUUUCAUGAGCAGAUAAAUCAUGCUAUUUCUACUAUUUCCGGGAGUCACAUUGAUGCCAGGGUUCUUCUUGCCCAUGGAUCUGAUGUUGAUGUCCAUCUGUCCUGCUUCCUGAGAUCAUGUUGAUGCAAGAGAUCUGUCUUUUCAACAAGAAGAAUGUUAAUUUCCCUGAUCUCUACUACCAUAGUAAACUAUGUGGCUAUCCAUUCAACAUUCUGCCACCUGAAAACUCGUGGAUUUAAUGGAUUCCUGCUGCUUUUGUUACCCAUAUGGAUGUCCAUGAUUGGAACUAUAAUUCUUUCCUUACUACUUCAGGUAGCAGUGUUGAUGCUCAUGGUCUUCUAAACCACUGGACACCAUGUUGAUAUCCAUGAUCUCUGUUUCUACAGGUGAUUAUGUUAAUGUAGAUUUUACUUGUUUUAAAUGUAUAGAAUGGUAAUUUCCAUGAUUUAACCAACUUUUGAUAAAUGAGUUGGUACACAUAAUUCAUACUAGUACCUGCAGCUGAUGUCAUGGAUCACUGAUGCCUUUGCAAACCCUGCUGAUAUUAAUGAAUUGUGCUCCCCUGCAUUUCUAUUGUUUCUGUAAGCCAUGUUGAUGCAGGUGUUCCUUUAUAUCAUGGGUUAACAUCAUGAUUGCCAUAAAUUCUCCAGCCCAUUAUGGCCAUAUUCAGGCAAAAGUUUCUUUUUGGCAAUGCAUAGAAUGAUAAUUUCCAAGAUUUAACAAGCAUUUGUAACUAAGCAGAUAUCCAUAAUUCAUCAUGCCAUUACAAACAUGCUGUUGUCAUUGAUCUCUGUUGCAACUUUUAACCCUGUUGAUAUCUAUGAAUGCACCUCCAAUGCAUUGCUGUUGUUUCUGUGAGCCAUGUUGAUGAAUGUAGUCCUUGUUACCAUGAGAUAACAUUUUGAUUGCCGUGACCUCUCUGGCCCUUUAUGUUCAUAUGGAUGGAAGUGUUCUGUGUUGCCAACACAGAGAAUGUAAAUUUCCAAAAAUUCAAAUACCAACUGAACCUAAGUUGGUAUCCAGAAUAUUUGCUGUCACCUCCAAACAAUUUGAAUUCUUUCAUCCCUGCUCCAUCUCUUAAACAUGUGGAUGUCCAUGAGCAGACAUACAAUGCUAUUUCUACUAUUUCUGGAAGCCACAAUGAUGCAAGGAUUCUUUCUUGCCCAUGUAUCUGAUGUUGAUGUCUAUCUGUCCUCCUACUGGAAAUCAUGUUGGUGGUAUAUCCAUCACGAAGAAAGUUAAUUUCUCUCAUCUCAACUACCAAAGUAAACUGUGUGGCUAUCGAUUCUAUAUUUUACCACCUGAAACACUGUGGAUAUAAUACAUCCCUAUUGCUUCUGUUAACUAUGUGGAUGUCCAUGAUUGGAGGCACAAUACCAUUCCUACUACUCCAGAAGCAAUAUUGAUGCUCAUUAUCUUCUUUCCACUGGAUACCAUAUUCAUUUCUGUGAUCUCUCCUGCUACAAGUCACCACCUUAAGGUAAGUGUUUGUUGUUGCCAAUGUAUAGGAUGAUAAUUUCCAAGAUUUAACCAGCUUUUGAUUCCCAUUGUUCAUGCUGCCACCUGCCACCAUGCUGAUGUCAUUGAUCACUGCUGCAAUUGCAAACCCUGUUGAUAUUAAUGUAUGGAGCUCCCAUGCAUUCCUAUUAGUUCUGUAAGCCAUGUCGAUGCAUAUGGUCAUUUUUACCAAGGGAUAACAGCUUGAUUGCUAUGAAUUCUCCAUCCCCUUAACACAUUAUUUAUGUAAGAGUUCUGUGUUGCCAAUAUGAAUAAUGUAAUUUUCAAGAUUUGAAAUACUAACAGAAAUUGGCUUAAUAUCUUGAAUACAUGCUGCUACCUCCAAACAAUUUGAGUUCAUUAAUUCUAGCUGAGUCUAUUAUAACUGUGCAUGUCCAUGAUUGGAACUACAAUGCUAUCUAUUCCUAUGCUUCUUGGAAGCAAUAUUGAUGCUCUUGAUCUUCUUACCACUGGACACCAUGGUGACUUCCCUGAUUUCUCCUGCUUCAAGUGACCAUGUUAAGGUAAGUGUACCUUUUUGGCAAUAUAUAAAAUGGUGAUUACCAAGAUUUAAUGAACCUUUGUUGACGUAGCUGAUACUUGUAAUUCAUGCUGCCACCUGCACCCAUGAUGAUGUCAUUGACUCCUGCUGCCUCUGUUAACCUUGUUGAUGUCUAUUAAAGGACCUGAUAGGAAUUCCUAAUGUUUCGCUAAGCCAUGUUGAUGCAUUUGUUCCUUGUUACCAUGUCAUAAUAUCUUGAUUGCCAUGACUUCUCUGGACACCUAUGACCAUAUUGAUGUAUAUGUUCUGUGUUGCCAACAUAAAUAAUGUAAAUUUCUAAGAACAAAAAUACCAACAGAAACUAAGUUGACAUUUGGAAUAAUUGUCACAUCCAACCAAGAUGAAUUCAUUUAUCCCUUUCGCAUCUGUUAAACAUGCAGAUGUCCAUGAGAAGACAUACCAUGCUAUUCCUACUAUUUCUGGAAGCUAUGUUGAUGCCAGGAUUCUUUCUUGCCCAUGGAUCUGAUAUUGAUGUCCAUAUGUCCUCCAACCUCAGGCCAUGUUGAUGCAAGUGUUCUGUCUUUUCAACAAAAAAGAAUGUUAAUUUCCCUAAUUUCAACUCCCAUAGUAGAUUAUGUGGCAAUCCGUUCCACAUUCUACCACCUGAAAUCUUGUGGAUUUAAUUGUUCCGUGUUGCUUCCAAUGCCCAUAUGGAUGUCCGUGAUUGGAACUAUAAUGCUUUUGCUACUACAUCUGGUAGCAGUGUUGAUGCUCAUGGUCUUGUAAACAACUGGACACCAUGUCAAUUUUCAUGAUAUCUGUUGCUACAGUUGAUGAUGUUAAUGUAAGUGCUAUUUGUUGCCAAUGUAUAGAAUGAAAAUUUCCAAGAUUUAACCAAAUUUUGUUAACUACUUGAUACACAUAAUUCAUGCUGCCACCUGCAGUCAUGCUGAUGUCAUUGAUCACUGCUGCCUUUGCAAACCCUGGUGAUAUUAAUGAAUGGAGCUCUCCUGCAUUCCUAUUGGUUCUGCAAGCCACGUUGAUGCAGGUAGUCCUUUAUACCAUGUGUUAAUAUCUUGAUUGCCAUAAUCUCUCAAGCCCCUUAUGGCCAUAUUAAGGCAAGGGUUUUUGUUUGGCAAUGUGUAGAAUGGUAAUCUUCAAGAUUUAAUAAGAAUUGGCAACUAAGCAGAUAUCCCUAAUUCAUGCUACCAUCUAAUACCAUGCUGAUAUCAUUGACACCCGUUGCCACUCUUAACAAUGUUGCUGUCUAUGAAUGCACCUCCAAUGCAUUCCUAUUGGUUCUGUAAGCCAUGUUGAUGAGUGUGGUCAUUAUUACUGUGGGAUAACACCUUGAUUGCUUGAAUUCUCCAUCCUCUUAUCACCAUAUGGAUGGAAGUGUUCUGUGUUGCCCAUAUGAAGAAUGUAAUAUUCAAGAAUUGAAAUACUUACAGAAACUAAGUUAAUAUCCUGAAUAUAUGCUGCUAUCUCCAAACAAGUUGAGGUCUUUAAACCCAGCUGAGUCUCUUAAACAUGUGCAUGUCCAUGAUUGGAACUACAAUGCUAUUCCUACUCCUUCUGGAAGGAAUGUUGAUGAUCAUGAUCUUCUAACCACUGGACAUAAUGGUGACUUCCAAGAUCUCUCCUGAUAUAAGUGACCUUAUUAAGCUGCAUGUGUUAAACAUAUAGAUGUCCAUGAACAGACAUACCAUGCUAUUCCUACUAUUUCUGGAAGCCACACUGAGGCCAGCGUUCUCUCUUGCCCAUCGAUCUGAUGUUGAUGUCUAUCUGUCCUCCUACCUGACAUCAUGUUGGUGCAAGAGUCUUUCCAUCAUGAAGAAAGUUAAUUUUCUGAUCUCAACUACCAAAGUAAACUGUGUGGCUAUCCAUUCUACAUUUUCCACCUGAAAUACUGUUAACCAUGUGGAUGACCAUGAUUGGAGGCACAAUUCAAUUUCUACUAUUCCAGAAGCAAUAUUGGUGCUCAUUAUCUUGUUACCACUGGGCAACAUGUUGAUUUCUAUGAUCUCUCCUCCUACAAGUCACCACCUUAAGGUAAGUGUUUGUUGUUGCCAAUGUAUAGAAUGGUAAUUUCCAAGAUUUACCUAACUUUUGGUAACUAAUUUGAUACACAUAAUUCAUACUGCCACCUGCAGCCAUGCUGAUGCCAUUGAUUAUUGCUGCCUUUGCAAACCCCGUUGAUAUUAAUGAAUGGAACUCCCAUGCAUUCCUAUUGGUACUGUAAGCCAUAUUGAUGCAUGUGGUCCUUGUUACCAUCGGAUAACAACUUGAUUGCUUUCAAUUCUCCAUCCCCUUAUCACCUUAUUUUUGUAAGUGUUGGGUAUUGGCAAUAUGAAGAAUAUACUUAUCAAGAAUUGAAAGAAAUACUAACAGAAACUAAGUUAAUAUCCUGAAUACAUGCUCCUAACUCCAAGCAAGUUGAGGUCAUUAAACCCAGCUGUGUCUCUUAAACAUGUGCAUGUCCAUGUUUGGAACUACAAUGCUAUUCCUACUCCUUCUGGAAGCAAUGUUGUUGCUUAUGAUCUUCCUACCAUUGGACCCCAGGUUGAUUUCCAUGAUCUCUCCUGCUACAAGUGACAAUAUUAAGGUAAGUGUUCUUUUUUGUCAAUAUAUAGAAUGGUAAUUUCUAAGAUUUAAUGAACCUUUGGUAAUGUAGCUGAUAUCUGUAAUUCAUGCUGCCACCUGCACCUAUUCUGAUGUCAUUGACCUCUUCUUCCUCUUUUAACCUUGAUAAUGUUUAUGAAACCACCUGUCUUACAUUGCUAUGGUUUGUAAGCCAUGUUGAUGCAUGUGGUCCCUCUUACCAUAGGAUAACAUCGUGAUUGGCAUUACCUCUCUGGCUCGUUAUGACCAUAUUAAUGUAAAUGUUCUGUGUUGCCAUCAUAAAGAAUGUAAAUUUCUAAGAACAAAAAUACCAACUGAAACUAAGUUGAUAUCUGGAAUACUUGCUGUCACUUCCAAACAAUUUGAAUUAAUUCAUCCCUACUGGAUCCUUUAGAAAUUGAUGUCUGUGACCAGACAUAUCAUGUUUUUCCUACUAUAUUUAGAAGCAUGUUGAUGCCAGGGUUCUUUGCUUGCCCAUGGAUCUCAUGUUGAUGUCCAUCAGUCUGGCUACUAGAGACUAUGUUCUGUCUUUCCAUGAUGAAGAAAGUUAAUUUCCCUGCUUCCAUCUACCAAAGUAAACUAUGUGGCUAUCCUUUCAACAUGCUGCUACCUGAAACCUUGUGGAAUUUAUUGUUCCCUGCUACUUCUUUUAUCCAUAUGGAUGUCCAUUUUUAGAACUAUAAUGCUUUUCCUACUUCUUCUGGUAGCAGUGUUGACACUCAUGCUUUUGUAAAUAACUUGACACCAUGUUGGUUUCCAUGAUCUCUCCUGAUACAGGUAUUUAUGUUAAUGUAGGUGUUACUUAUUGCCAAUGUAUAGAAUGGUAAUUUCCAAGAUUUAACCAACUUUUGGUAACUAGUUGAUACACAUUAUUCAUGCUCUCACCUGCAGCCAUGCUGAUGUUAUUGAUCACUGAUGCCUUUGCAAACCCUGUUGAUAUUAAUGAAUGGAGCUCCCCUUUAUUCCUAUUGGUUUUGUAAACCACGUUGUUGCAGGUGGUCAUUUUUACCAUUGGCUAACAUCUUGAUUGCCAUAAAUUCUCUAGUCCCUAAUGACCAUAUUAAGGCAAGUGUUCCUUUUUGGCAAUGUGUAGAAUGGUAAUUUCCAAGAUAUAUCAAGCAUUGGUUAAUAAACAAAUAUCCAUAUUUCAUGCUGCCAUAUCCUAUCAUGCUGAUCUCAUUGAUCCCUUUUGCUACUGGUAACCCUGUUGAUGUCUAUGAAUGUACCUGUAAUACAUUUGUUGUUUCUGAAAGCCAUGUUGACGCAUGUCCUUAUUACCAUGGGAUAACACCUUGAUUGCUUUCAAUUCUCCAUCACCUUAUUUAUGUAAGUGUUCCUUUACCCAUAUGAAGAAUGUAACUUCCAGGAAUUGAUAUACUAACAGAAACUAAGUUAAUAUCCUGAAUACAUGCUGCUACCUCCAAACAAGUUGAGGUCUUUAAUUUCAGCCUUUCUCUUAAACAUAUUCAUGUCCAUGAUUGGAACUAUAAUGCUUUUCCUACUCCUUCUGGAAGCAAAGUUGAUGCUCGUGUUCUUCCUACCACUGUGAUCUUUCCUCCUACAAGUUACCAUGCUAAUGUAAGUGUUCUUUUUUGCAACAUAUUGAAUGGUAAUUGCUAAAAUUCAAUGAACUUUGGUAACUUAGCUGGUGUCUGUAAUUCAUUUUUACACGUGCACUCAUGCUGAUGUCAUUGACCCCUGCUGCCUCUGUUUACCUUGUUGAUGUCUAUGAAAAGACCUUCCGGGCACUCCUUUGGUUCUGUAAGCCAUGUUGAUGCAGGUGGACUUUGUUUUAAUGGGAUAACAUCUUGAUUGCCAUGACCUCUCUGGCCCCUUAUGGCCAUAUUAAGAUAGGACAUUGAUGUCCAUAUCCAUGGAGAUAUUCUGCUAUCUGAGACCCUACUGAUGCAAGAGUUCUGUUUUGCCAACGUGAUGAAUGUUAAUUGCUAUGAUCUCAGCUACCAUCUGAAACUGGUGAUAUUUACAUGCUACCACCUGCAACCUUGGUGAUGACAUGGAUACCUGCUGUUCUCUUUAUCAUGUUGAUGAUCUUUACUAUGCUAUUCUUAUUGGUUUGAAGUCCAUGUGGAUGCCUUAUGUUACGUUUUGCUCCUGGAUAAGGUAUUGGUGUUGAUGUCCAUGUUUUGUAAUGCCACCUGAGUCCAAACUGAGGAAAUCAUGUUGAUGUCACUGUUCUUUGCUGCAUUUUCUAACCAUGUUGAUGUUCAUCAUCCAACCUACUAUCCAAACUUUGUUGAUGUUAGUGAUCUAUGUUGUAGCUGUUAACCAUGUUGAGGUUACUGAACUUUGCUACCACCUGUAACCAUAUUGAUGUCUGCAGUGUACAGUGUCAUCAGAAACAGUGUUGAAGUCAUUUGUCCAUACUGCUACCUUAGACCCAGUUCAAGCAACCAUGUUGAUGUCAGUGAUUCUUGCUGCCUCUCUUAACCUUGCUGAUGUCCAUGAUUCGAACUGUCAUUUGAAACUUUGUUGAUGUCACUGAUCUUUGCUGUUGCUGUCAACCAUGUUGAUGCUACUGAAACAUGCUUCCACUUGUAACCAUACUGCUGUCUCUAGUCUGUUAUCAUCUGUGACAGUUCUGAAAUCAAUGGUAUAUACUACCACCUGAGACCCACUUCAGGAAACCAACCAUGUUGAUGUCACUGAUCUUUGUUCCCUGUUUUGACCAUGUGGAUGUCCAUUAUCUGACUUAUCAUCUGAAAUUAUGUUGAUAUCACUCAUUCAUGCUGCUGCUUAUAACCAUGUUUAUGGCCAUAGUCUUUGUUAGAAUCUUAGACCUUGUGAAUGUCCAUUGUCCAUGUUGCCACCUGAGUCCAUGAUGAUGACCAUGAUGACUUUAGUCUUUGCUGCUGUCAGUCAUAAUGUCGAUGCCUCUGAUUGGUGCUUUUACUGGGGACUAGGUCAAUAUGAAUGAUCUGAGCUGCCAACAGAAACUAUUUUGAUAUCAUUAAGCCAUCCUUGGGCUGGAGACCAUGUUGAAAUCUUUGUCAUUGAUGCCACCAAAUACUAUGUUUAUGUUCAUGCUCUGGGUUGCAUGGUCCAGUUGGAUAUCCAUGACCCAGCUGCUGAUGAAGACUGUGUCGAUGUCUGUGGUCAGUACUGCCACAAGAAGACAUCCUGAUAGUGAUCUGUGAUGCCUCCCUCAAACAUGUUAUGUUGGUGAUCUGGGUUGAUGUCCUGGACCAGAUGGAUGGCAGUUAUCCAUACCGUCACCAGAAAUCUUGUGGACCAUGAUCCGUUCUGCUCCUGGAAACUCUGUAGAAGUCUAUGAUUCAUUCUGCUGCUGGAAACCAUGUGUAAGGCCUUGAUCUGUACUGCUACUGCCUUCUAUGGGCAAGGAACUUCUUUUGCAGUAGUAUCAAUGACUGUAGAAUCAUUACUGAAAUUCAGAUGGACAUUGAAGGCUUCUGUGCCACCAUCCCUCCAAAAAAGAAAAUCUAGACAGGAUCUAAUUGGAGAGUUCUUGAAAGUUGUAAUAAAAUUACUUAACUGUAGCUCUUCACAGUUGAUGGCUUCAGGCAGGGGUUUGGAAAGAACACCUUUUUAAAGGGCUGGCUACUGCAAGUUUGCCCAUGCUCUAAUGAGUAUAAGGAGAACACCAAUUGGACUUGUUAUAUUGCAUUUUUUCUAUUCUGAGGGAGGAUGCCACAAGGGUGAGAGGGUGGACCUGGGAGGAAUGGGAAUCAAGUGUGAUUGAGGUAUGUUGUAUGACAUUUUCAAAUGAUUAAUAAAAUAUU